CUUCCGGUGGGAAGGAUACGAGCAAGAUAAAGCAGCGAGGGAUUUAAGUCUGGCAACAGUUGGACUGCUGGAUUUUCAGAGAAGUGUUCCCCAAAGCAAAUUAUAGUGCUAAUUUCCAAUGUUCCAUAAGCGUGGCAAGAAAAAUGGGAAGUUCUCGGUAAGGUAUAUAGUAUUAUUUCUAGAAAUAAAGAUGAACCAAUCCAAGAUUGAUUUUUUGUUUGUUUAAUCCUGGCAGUAUUCUUAACUAAAUUGUAUUCAUUCUUCCCUUUACUUUCCAGACUUUUUAAUUUUAUUUAUUUUUUUAUUUUUUGAGACAGAGUCUUGCCCAGGCUGGAGUGCAGUGCCACAAUCUUGGCUCACUGCAACCUCUGCCUCCCUGGUUCAAGCGUUUCUCCUGCCUCACCCUCCCAAGUAGCUGGGACUACAGGCACGUGCCAUCACGCCAGGCUAAUUUUUGCAUUUUUAGUACAGAUGGGGUUUUACAUAUUGAUCAG
RNAcentral lists this long non-coding RNA (494 nucleotides) under Homo sapiens (human). Its description in RNAcentral is "non-protein coding lnc-NSUN6-2:8". Lineage: Eukaryota; Metazoa; Chordata; Mammalia; Primates; Hominidae. The record is from RNAcentral.